Molecule: ribosomal RNA, 548 nt
Filed under: uncultured bacterium
Lineage: Bacteria
Description: bacterial SSU rRNA
Rfam family: Bacterial small subunit ribosomal RNA
Source: RNAcentral
UGGGGAAUAUUGGACAAUGGGCGCAAGCCUGAUCCAGCCAUGCCGCGUGAGUGAAGAAGGCCUUCGGGUUGUAAAGCUCUUUCGGCGGGGACGAAACGGUCCGGGCUAACACCACGGACUAAUGACGGUACUCGCAGAAGAAGCACCGGCUAACUACGUGCCAGCAGCCGCGGUAAUACGUAGGGUGCAGGCGUUAAUCGGAAUUACUGGGCGUAAAGCGUGCGCAGGCGGCUCCUUAAGUCAGAUGUGAAAGCCCCGGGCUUAACCUGGGAACUGCGUUUGAAACUGGGGAGCUAGAGUGUGGAAGAGGGGGGUGGAAUUCCAGGUGUAGCAGUGAAAUGCGUAGAGAUCUGGAGGAACACCGAUGGCGAAGGCAGCCCCCUGGGCUAACACUGACGCUCAUGCACGAAAGCGUGGGGAGCAAACAGGAUUAGAUACCCUGGUAGUCCACGCCCUAAACUAUGUCAACUGGUUGUCGGGGAAGCAAUUCCUUGGUAACGAAGCUAACGCGUGAAGUUGACCGCCUGGGGAGUACGGCCGCAAGGUUA